CUAGACAUGGGGAGUGCAGAGGGGUAUUCCCCUCUGUCGGUUUAGGAGGGUGCUCAGGUCGUAAGACCGUCGAAGGGAAC
Alkaliphilus metalliredigens QYMF is the source of this 80-nucleotide non-coding RNA. The record is from Rfam. Lineage: Bacteria; Bacillati; Bacillota; Clostridia; Peptostreptococcales; Natronincolaceae.